CGGAGCAGAGACACGGAUCCAAAGCGGGUGAGAAAGCCGGAGGAGCCCUGCAGGGAACUUGAAAGCCGGGGUCUGUAAUGGGCAGACUGGGGGGAAAGAAGCAGCAGGAGGCAGGCACCCCCCCGCCCCCACCGGGAAGUGUGCCUGUCCUUCUUGCCCUGAGGAUGGCUGCUGCUUCUCAAGUGCUGCUGUCCCUGUGGUUGUUUCACUUCCCCUCCCAAAAGAGCCGCCCGGCCAGCACACCGAGCUGGAGACACUGCCAUUGAUGCUCAGGAACUGAAGAUUGGAAGGGAUGGAUUCACUAAGAGCCCAGCGAAGACGAAGAAGCAAUCUGUGACUGCCUGAUCGCGAGAAUCACCAAGCACCAACCUGCAACACACCCGGGUUGACGCCACAAUGGCUGCCUGCUCAUAUGUCGCAAGCAGGGUCGUCGCUCUAUUCCUGCAGUUACCAACAGAUUUCUCGGUGAACAGAGCUGACUUCAAAACCUCCAACUCAGUCCUAAACCUUUUGUCACUGUAGGCCAAAGACACAAGUAACGAUUCAUUUUAUGGUUUUUCUUUUCCUGUUAAUGAUCUUGUACGUAUUUGUUUUGUUUUGUUUUAAAGCCUGUUCGAAACUUUACGCAGUGAAGCCAAGUCAUAAUGUUUUGAGUGGAAAGCUCUGAAUUAUUAAAAGAGAACAGCAUUGAUAAUCUGAAGGUUUGGGGGAUGUCGCAGAAAGGUCGAGUGUAGACAAAAGCAUUGAAUAAGAGAGAGAAAAGAGAGAAAAUUUUGCCUUUUUAGUUUGGUUUCUUAACUGAAACACGAGAGAGCACAAGAAACAAAUGUGAAGGCUUAUUGUAUGUCGUAGGUGGAUGGAGGACAAGAAGUGUCAAAUCGUUGAGAGAAAAAGCAAGUAGUGAUGUAUGACAAGGUUAGUGCGUUUCGACAGUCUUAAACAAAGAAAUGAGGAAAACUGCGAAAAACGCCAAACCGACUCUCGGGUAUAGGCCAAGGUUGGCUAUCAGACCUCUUCCAUUGGUUUGGGUGUAACACGUGAUCAUGGUUCCUCAACUUGUUAAUACCCUUCAUUAUGCUUUUGUUAUCAAUUGCUAUAUUUGUGUGUUUUAGCUGUUGAAUUUUACAGUAUCUCAAAACAAAGUUAACCAUGCUUUUUGCUUUUGUAUACACCCGCUUGCCAAACACUAACAAUGAUGAACAAAAUGGUCUGUACAUAAACAUGAUGUUACUUGCUGUGCCAUGGGCAAGGGGGCAUGUCACAACCAAAUUAAGUAGUGCCCAUGUCACAAACAAGUAAUAACCAUUUAAAACAGUUUUUUCUGCACUAGGUUAACUAAGGGUUAACAAUAAUGAUAGUAACCGCUUUUUUUCUGCACAUGUCAAAAAGAAAUUUAUUGCUGCGCCACUAACAGAGAUAAAAACUUUUGCCUUCUUUGCUUUAUAUAAAUCAUUAUAAUUGGUCAAAGAAAACAGGGAGUAACCCUAUGAUAACACCCUAGCGAAGACCGCUAGAUAAUUGGCGAUUCUAAUUAGAUUUAUGACGUGGCGAAAAACAAUUGGCUAUCAUACAAACAAAACCUGCUUACAUUUUUCGCAAAGUCGAAGACAACUCUGCCCACACCUUGGAGUAAAUCUGACAAUUUGAUCAGCUGUCAGCGUCUUCCCGCCGUGACCUCCCUGGCGUACCCUUGCCUUGCAUGCCCGAUAAGCCGACCACCGGCCCAUAUAUAUAUAUCUGCAGAAUAACUGAAUGACGAUCUCUAAGCUGUAACUAACUAAGUAUCUCUGACCUCCGUCUUACACCACCUUGACGUGAGUAAACAAUCUUGCUUUGCAA
Molecule: long non-coding RNA, 1839 nt
Organism: Alligator mississippiensis (American alligator)
Lineage: Eukaryota; Metazoa; Chordata; Crocodylia; Alligatoridae
Exons: 3
Source: RefSeq, a predicted model, not a curated record